Molecule: ribosomal RNA, 274 nt
Filed under: uncultured bacterium
Lineage: Bacteria
Description: partial 16S ribosomal RNA
Rfam family: Bacterial small subunit ribosomal RNA
Source: RNAcentral
UACGGAGGAUGCAAGCGUUAUCCGGAUUUAUUGGGUUUAAAGGGUGCGCAGGUUGUUUGACAAGUCAGUGGUGAAAGUCUGCCGCUUAACGGAAGGAUUGCCAUUGAUACUGUUGGACUUGAGUAUGGAUAAGGUAUGCGGAAUGUGUAGUGUAGCGGUGAAAUGCAUAGAUAUUACACAGAACACCGAUUGCGAAGGCAGCAUACUGGGCCAUUACUGACGCUGAGGCACGAAAGCGUGGGGAUCAAACAGGAUUAGAUACCCCUAGUAGUCC